AGCAGCCGCGGUAAUUCCAGCUCCAAUAGCGUAUAUUAAAGUUGUUGCAGUUAAAAAGCUCGUAGUUGAAUUUCGGGAUCAAGGAAUCGGUCAUGCCUCGGUAUGUACUGGUUUUAUUGGUUCUCACCUUCUAAAGAACCAUGAUGUCAUUCAUUUGAUGUUAUGGGGAAUUAGGACUGUUACCUUGAAAAAAUUAGAGUGUUUAAAGCAGGCUUACGCUUGAAUACAUUAGCAUGGAAUAAUGAAAUAGGACAUCAGAUUCUAUUUUGUUGGUUUCUAGGAUCGAUGUAAUGAUUAAUAGGGAUAGUUGGGGGCAUUAGUAUUCAAUUGUCAGAGGUGAAAUUCUUGGAUUUAUUGAAGACUAACUACUGCGAAAGCAUUUGCCAAGGAUGUUUUCAUUAAUCAAGAACGAAAGUUAGGGGAUCGAAGACGAUCAGAUACCGUCGUAGUCUUAACCAUAAACUAUGCCGACUAGGGAUCGGAUGAUGUUUAUUUUUAGUGUACUCAUUC
RNAcentral lists this ribosomal RNA (510 nucleotides) under uncultured Glomus. RNAcentral describes it as "SSU rRNA". It matches the Rfam family "Eukaryotic small subunit ribosomal RNA", at positions 569 to 1081 of the family's 1831-position model. The record is from RNAcentral. Lineage: Eukaryota; Fungi; Glomeromycota; Glomeromycetes; Glomerales; Glomeraceae.